GUGAGUAAUAUAUAAGUAAUCUACCUAUAGGAAAGGAAUAACUCUAAGAAAUUGGGGCUAAUACCAUAUAAUGCAGCGGCACCGCAUGGUGAUGUUGUUAAAGUAAUUUAUUACGCCUAUAGAUGAGCUUGUAGUCGAUUAGCUAGUUGGUAAGGUAAUGGCUUACCAAGGCUACGAUCGAUAGCUGGUCUGAGAGGAUGAUCAGCCACACUGGAACUGAGACACGGUCCAGACUCC
RNAcentral lists this ribosomal RNA (237 nucleotides) under uncultured bacterium. RNAcentral describes it as "partial 16S ribosomal RNA". It matches the Rfam family "Bacterial small subunit ribosomal RNA", at positions 106 to 339 of the family's 1533-position model. The record is from RNAcentral.